RNAcentral lists this small nucleolar RNA (123 nucleotides) under Zalophus californianus (California sea lion). RNAcentral describes it as "Small nucleolar RNA SNORA70 (ENSZCAG00015005375.1)". It matches the Rfam family "Small nucleolar RNA SNORA70". From Rfam's summary of the family: snoRNA U70 seems to be exclusive to mammals and is a member of the H/ACA class of snoRNA which contain H (ANANNA) and ACA box motifs. Lineage: Eukaryota; Metazoa; Chordata; Mammalia; Carnivora; Otariidae. The record is from RNAcentral.
CUACAGCCAAUUAGGCUAACCACGCUCUUUUCCCAGAUGUGUAAUGACUGCAAACAGCAGCUUCCUCAGUAGUAUACAUAGUCUGUUGCGCAUAUAGGUUGCCCUAAGAACGAGGAGAUAAAC